GCUUCCUUGGCUCAGUUGGCUAGAGCGCAGGUCUCAUACUUUAUGUGUGAGCGGUGUAUAAUCGUGUAAUCCUGAGGUCGCAAGUUCGAGCCUUGCAGGGAGCA
This 104-nucleotide transfer RNA is filed under the name Peniophora sp. CONT. It matches the Rfam family "tRNA". From Rfam's summary of the family: Transfer RNA (tRNA) molecules are approximately 80 nucleotides in length. Lineage: Eukaryota; Fungi; Basidiomycota; Agaricomycetes; Russulales; Peniophoraceae. The record is from Rfam by way of RNAcentral.